CCUCCUCUGCAUUCUACCCGUUCAGUUUCUCUGUGAGCAUCUUGUUUCCUAUUUUUUCCAUUUUUUUUGGAUUUUUUGGAGUUUUCAUUUGAUUCAAAAUAUCCUCCAACACUUCCUCCUCUAACAGUUUUAGAAGUUCGUCAGCUCCAGCCCCCCAAAAUCCUAGUACUGUAGAUGAAUCUGCACUUAGCACCGAACC
Molecule: long non-coding RNA, 199 nt
Filed under: Elaeis guineensis (African oil palm)
Lineage: Eukaryota; Viridiplantae; Streptophyta; Magnoliopsida; Arecales; Arecaceae
Description: long non-coding RNA (EGUI_LNC060579)
Source: RNAcentral